RNAcentral lists this transfer RNA (76 nucleotides) under Sutcliffiella sp. NC1. RNAcentral's name for it is "tRNA-Arg". It matches the Rfam family "tRNA". From Rfam's summary of the family: Transfer RNA (tRNA) molecules are approximately 80 nucleotides in length. The record is from RNAcentral. Lineage: Bacteria; Bacillati; Bacillota; Bacilli; Caryophanales; Bacillaceae.
GCGCUCGUAGCUCAGUCGGAUAGAGCGGUGGUUUCCGGUACCACGUCUGUCGGGGGUUCAAGUCCCUUCGAGCGCG